AUUACCCUCUUCUUUUGGUUUGCCUUAAAGAAUGGUGGGAUAGCAUCUCAACCUCCUUUCCCCUCUUUUGGAUCAUUGUGGCUUAUCUCUAUUGGCACUUGUGAAAAGCAGGCAACCAUUUGGGUUUUGGUAAUGCUUCACCUGAUCCGGUUGGGGUAUGGGAAGUCGCGCUUCACGAUUUCACGUUUCGAAAUGACUA
This 199-nucleotide long non-coding RNA is filed under the name Gossypium barbadense (sea-island cotton). RNAcentral's name for it is "long non-coding RNA (GBAR_LNC016059)". The record is from RNAcentral. Lineage: Eukaryota; Viridiplantae; Streptophyta; Magnoliopsida; Malvales; Malvaceae.